UUUAUUCUUCUCUUACACUUCAACUUCCCAUUUAUUCUCUCUCUCACACUCCACUCUUUACAACACUCAAAAUCUCUCUUCCUCUCUCCAAACCCACGAAAUUCUCCAGCCAAGAACAGCUCUCAACCUUCAAAACUUCAUCUUCUAAGCUUGUUCUUCAAGGUAAUCACAAAAAUCCUUCAUUUUCCUUCAUUUUUCUUUCUUGUUUUAAAGGUUUUUCUUGUACUUCUCGUUCUUCUACACCAUUCUUUAUGAACAUUCAUGAACAUAUCCAUGAAUGUCGAGUUUGAUGAUGAUGAUGGUAAAGUUUCACCCAAGAACAACAUGCAUGUUGUUUAAUGGUGAAAUCCAAGGACCAAAACCUAUGGCAAACCCUAAAAUACGGAUUUUUACAAGUUGUAAAGGUUCAUAUACCUUAUGCAUUCAAGUAUUUCCUUUGAAAACAUCACUAUGACCAACAUAUGUCCAUACAUGGUCUUCAAACCAUGAUGCAUGUGAUGAACACCAAGCUAAAGAGCUUGGUGAUCAAAAUACAUUGUUAAUAGUGCAUGUAAAUGAUUUUAUUUAUAAAAAAAUCUAAAAUUCUUUUUCAGUUCGAAAUAAAAUUUCCCCAGAUUCCCAGUAAGAUGAUAUGAAUAUCUGGAAAAUCCCAAUAGUUUUUAUCAUUUCCUUGAUUUAUUAAAAUUGUUACAAGAAAACAAGGGCUUAAAUCAGGAUAAAAUACUUUCUGAGGUCUAUAAAUCCUAGAUCAAUUCGUAGAUGACCCCUAUGAUGAAUAUUGACCUCUCAUUAAGUUUCAUCUAUUUUUGUGGCUGUUUAGUAUGACUUUUGAGUUUCUUUUUUUUAGUCCCAAUAAAUCAUAAAACCACUUUAUAAAAUAUAAAAAUGAUGUAUAACAAUUUUCGAAGCUCCUACCACAGGUUCAAAACUCAGGAAAAUAUUUUCAGAGUUUUUGAUAAGGCAUUCCUAUUUUUCCCCAAUUUUUGUAUUUAUAAUGAACUAAAAACAAAACAAAUAGUUCUGCUCAUCCAAAAUACAUGCAAAUUUACCAGAACAUCUUAUAAUAUAUUAGGAUUCUAAAAACAAAUUUGUAUGAGUUUUCUAUACUGUAUGCUAUUUUUUUAUAUUUUCCUAAGAUUAAAUACACUUAAACCCAUUUCUUAUAAUAAUAAAUGCACAAAAAUCAUAAAAUUGGGUUAAACAGUUUGGAAAUCCAUUUUUAUAUUUUUCCCAGAUUAAUAAUGUUUAAUAACAGUAAUAGAAAAAGUUUGGGUAAUUUUAGAAACUUUUUGCUAUUUAUUUCAUUUUUUAUUAUAAUAAAUUUACAAAAAUUAUACAAUUGGGUUAAACGGCUUGUAAAUCAAUUUUUAUAUUUUUCCCAGAUUAAUAAUGUUUAAUAACAGUAAUAAAAAAAGUUUGGGUAAUUUUGGUAACUGUUUGCUAUUUAUUUCAUUUUUUAUUAUAAUAAAUGAACAAAAAUCAUAAAAUUGGUUUAAACAGUUUAGAAACUCAUUUAUAUGUUUUUCACAAAUUAAUUAUGUCUAAUGGAAGUAUUAUAAAAAGUUUGGGGAUUUUUAUCCUUUGGAUGCUAUUUUUCAUGAAUUUAUGUUGUUAUGAAGGCUUAAAAUUUUGGAAAAAUAGUUAAUCACAUCAAAAAUUCAAGGGAAAUUUUUUGGAAGACCUAUACUGUAUUUAGAAUGAAAAUACAAGGCUUGACAAUUUUUGGAAACUUUUUGAUAAUAUUUUAAACUUUUAGGAGUUUAAAACACCUUUAAAUAUGUUGAAAUACCCUCAACUAAUAUUACAAAAAUCUGGAAAAUUAAUAUCCAAAAUUGUCUUAAUCACAUGAGUUAUAAAAUUUUACCAUUUUAGAAAAAUUGUAACCAAUUAAUAUAAAACCAAUAUUAGAACAAAAAAAAAGGCAUUUCUCUAUAUGUAGAAUUUAGUAUAUUAGCAUUAGAUUUCGACAUAAAAACUCACUAGCCUGUGUUUGAUGUCGUAGGAUCCCGGUAGUAAGGCAUUGGUGUAUUCCGAGGCACCACUUGUACCUACUUGAAACAUGGUGAGUAUUCAUGACUCCCCUAUUUUCGGUUUUUAUGUUUUGGGGUGGAAAAGCAUGUCCGAAAAACUAUUUAUUGUUCGUUGUAUUUAAAUUGAUUUGUAUCAAACUUGAUUGCUAUAUUUUGCUAUAUCUCUCUAUGUAUGUCUAUGCAACACGGAACAUGAGAACUUAUCGUCUUAAGUCCCUUCCCUUACACUUUUCUCCAACCAUUAACUCUUUGAGCCAAUGGUCAUUAUGGAUAGCGCUAUUAGGAAUUGACAACUCCUCACUCGCCCGAUUGCUGGAGUGCAUGAUACCAUAUAAUCUAUGGAACGAUAAGCAUAGAUCUUGAUAGGGCAUCAGUCAUAGGCUUGGUUAGGAACUCAUUGUUUGCUCAUACACAUACAAACUUGUUAUUUAUUAUGGCAAUAAACUCGUUUAUCAAUUAUAGCAAUCAACUUUGUUUCUCAUUAUAGCAAUGAACUUGGUUUCUCAUUAAAGCAAUGUACUUGUAUUUAUGGAAAGUCUUAUACCAAAUGUUGAUUUUAUAAACUUGUGAACUCACCAACUAUUUUCAUAGUUGACACUCGUUUUACAUGUUUUUUCAGGAAAUAAUUAGUAAGUGUAUAUAAAGAUCCAUCAUCAUAGAGCAUGCUGCAACGUGUGGAAGUUAUUUUAUGAAGUUAUAUUUUGAACAAUGUGAUUUUCGAAAACUUGUACUUUGUUUUGUUUAAAUUAUGGGUUGUGAACUUUUAAAUAUUGCUAUGGUGAUGUAUCUUUUGCAAUGAAACCUUUAUCAUUGUCAUAUCUUGCGUUUCCGCUUUAGCGGGGUGUGACACGGGUAGACCCUCUGGUCCUACUCAGUAACUUAGAAUAAUACAUAGUACAAAUCACAUAGAAAUAGUACAAGAUAUCACGGUACUCAAAUAACACAUAAGACCCUCCGGUCACACACAACUCAUAAUACCACUCUAGGUACGUAUAGUGAGAAGCCUCACCUCGUAAGCUAGCAAGUAAAAUUCUCAUACUCAGAAAUCUCGAUCUAGC
RNAcentral lists this long non-coding RNA (3088 nucleotides) under Lactuca sativa (garden lettuce). RNAcentral's name for it is "long non-coding RNA (LSAT_LNC006327)". The record is from RNAcentral. Lineage: Eukaryota; Viridiplantae; Streptophyta; Magnoliopsida; Asterales; Asteraceae.